RNAcentral lists this ribosomal RNA (919 nucleotides) under Salmonella enterica. RNAcentral describes it as "partial 23S ribosomal RNA". It matches the Rfam family "Bacterial large subunit ribosomal RNA", at positions 369 to 1191 of the family's 2925-position model. The record is from RNAcentral. Lineage: Bacteria; Pseudomonadati; Pseudomonadota; Gammaproteobacteria; Enterobacterales; Enterobacteriaceae.
AGCCCCGUACACAAAAGCGCAUGUGCUGUGAGCUCGAUGAGUAGGGCGGGACACGUGGUAUCCUGUCUGAAUAUGGGGGGACCAUCCUCCAAGGCUAAAUACUCCUGACUGACCGAUAGUGAACCAGUACCGUGAGGGAAAGGCGAAAAGAACCCCGGCGAGGGGAGUGAAAAAGAACCUGAAACCGUGUACGUACAAGCAGUGGGAGCCCCACCACUAAGCCAGUGGUGAACUCCACAUACGCAUCCUUUGCUGAGGAUACGGUUAACGGAGCGAAAGCGACGUUCAACCGCAAAAGAAGCAGAGGGGGCUUAGUGGUGGGGUGACUGCGUACCUUUUGUAUAAUGGGUCAGCGACUUAUAUUCUGUAGCAAGGUUAACCGAAUAGGGGAGCCGGAGGGAAACCGAGUCUUAAUUGGGCGUUAAGUUGCAGGGUAUAGACCCGAAACCCGGUGAUCUAGCCAUGGGCAGGUUGAAGGUUGGGUAACACUAACUGGAGGACCGAACCGACUAAUGUUGAAAAAUUAGCGGAUGACCUGUGGCUGGGGGUGAAAGGCCAAUCAAACCGGGAGAUAGCUGGUUCUCCCCGAAAGCUAUUUAGGUAGCGCCUCGUGAAUUCAUCUCCGGGGGUAGAGCACUGUUUCGGCUAGGGGGCCAUCCCGGCUUACCAACCCGAUGCAAACUGCGAAUACCGGAGAAUGUUAUCACGGGAGACACACGGCGGGUGCUAACGUCCGUCGUGAAGAGGGAAACAACCCAGACCGCCAGCUAAGGUCCCAAAGUCAUGGUUAAGUGGGAAACGAUGUGGGAAGGCCCAGACAGCCAGGAUGUUGGCUUAGAAGCAGCCAUCAUUUAAAGAAAGCGUAAUAGCUCACUGGUCGAGUCGGCCUGCGCGGAAGAUGUAACGGGGCUAAACCAUG